GAUGAACGCUAGCGGCAGGCUUAACACAUGCAAGUCGAGGGGUAACAGGGAAAAGCUUGCUUUUUGCUAACGACCGGCGAACGGGUGCGUAACGCGUAUAGAAUCUGCCUUGUACAGGAGGAUAGCCUUUAGAAAUGAAGAUUAAUACUCCAUAAUGUAGAGUAGUGGCAUCGCUAUUUUAUUAAAGAUUUAUUGGUACAAGAUGACUAUGCGUCCUAUUAGCUAGAUGGUAAGGUAACGGCUUACCAUGGCGACGAUAGGUAGGGGGUCUGAGAGGAUUAUCCCCCACACUGGUACUGAGACACGGACCAGACUCCUACGGGAGGCAGCAGUGAGGAAUAUUGGUCAAUGGAGGCAACUCUGAACCAGCCAUGCCGCGUGCAGGAAGACUGCCCUAUGGGUUGUAAACUGCUUUUAUACAGGAAGAAACAGAACUACGUGUAGUUCCUUGACGGUACUGUAAGAAUAAGCACCGGCUAACUCCGUG
RNAcentral lists this ribosomal RNA (487 nucleotides) under uncultured bacterium. RNAcentral describes it as "bacterial SSU rRNA". It matches the Rfam family "Bacterial small subunit ribosomal RNA", at positions 28 to 507 of the family's 1533-position model. The record is from RNAcentral.